UACGUAGGUGGCAAGCGUUGUCCGGAAUUAUUGGGCGUAAAGCGCGCGCAGGCGGUUUCUUAAGUCUGAUGUGAAAGCCCACGGCUCAACCGUGGAGGGUCAUUGGAAACUGAGGAACUUGAGUACAGAAGAGAAGAGCGGAAUUCCACGUGUAGCGGUGAAAUGCGUAGAGAUGUGGAGGAACACCAGUGGCGAAGGCGGCUCUUUGGUCUGUAACUGACGCUGAGGCGCGAAAGCGUGGGGAUCAAACAGG
Molecule: ribosomal RNA, 253 nt
Filed under: uncultured bacterium
Lineage: Bacteria
Description: partial 16S ribosomal RNA
Rfam family: Bacterial small subunit ribosomal RNA
Source: RNAcentral